Ornithorhynchus anatinus (platypus) is the source of this 1063-nucleotide long non-coding RNA. RefSeq lists it as uncharacterized. The transcript has 3 exons. Lineage: Eukaryota; Metazoa; Chordata; Mammalia; Monotremata; Ornithorhynchidae. The record is from RefSeq and is a predicted model, not a curated record.
UUCAGCUGCAGGAGAUCAGAUCAUUCUCUCCCUCACCUGUUGAAGGGGAGAAUUAGAGGAUUCAGUGGAGGAUGGCUUCAGUCUUCUAAGGCUAGCUCUCCCUGGUGUGAAGAAGGAAAUCAUUCUCACUUCCCUUCCCGGUGACUAGAGGUGAGCAUCAGAGGGACAUCUUUGACUUCCUGUGCAGGAAAUGAAGCCACUGGGCUGUUACGGAGCCAUCAUCAGCCUGGGAGUUGCUUAGAGGACCUUGAGGAAAGGUGAACCAGUUGUGGAGGUGGUGUUCCUGUGAUCUCACCUCCUCCACCUGUGGGAAUUUUAAUGCAGAUAAAUAUCACCAGGAAUCCCGAGAAUGAAUUCUGGUUCGAGCUGCUGUUUUUAUCACCUCCCUUCACAGUCUCCUGGGACAGAAAUCCAGACUGAAAAGCCUUGAAACUCCUCUUGGAUUUAUCUCCCACUAAAGGCAGCUGAAGGAGCGGAUCCGUUGAUCGGUGGAAGCCGGGCUCAAGAAUUAAUCAAAUAUCUCUAAUCUGAGUGAUGGCUGAGAGCAGCUGUGUGCAGGUUCCGAAUCUAGGAGAGAGAGGAAGAGAAAUGAUUUUGUCUGAAGAGCUGUGUUCUCUCCUAACAUUAGCAAAAACAGCAGGCUCUUGUGUUAAGUAGGUUAAGGUCCCUGAAGUAAGACUUAAAUCAGACAAAUAAGGGAAGUUAUAAAAGUUGAUAUUAAUGAGCAUAAAACACCCUUUGAAAUUCCUAAUGAAGCUUCUCCAGUUGCAAAUUCCCGGGGUCUAAUCUUUGCAAUGGCAUUCCCAAGGUCUCCAAGAUGUAUUGCUUGGGAACACAAGGGAAAUUUUCUAUGUAGUGGGAUGACACCCUGGGGAAUUUAGCGGAGCAACCAUUCUAGGGCACAACCGGUAUAGUUUCUCUAACUGAGGGAUGUACUGAAAUUGAUACCAUAUCACCUGAAGUAUCUUCCAUCUAUACCUCCCGCACUGUACGUCACAACAUCCCCUGCUAAGACCCCUUUACAGGAAGUGAGAGAAUAAAAGAAAUAUGACUUUAAUUGGCU